RNAcentral lists this ribosomal RNA (621 nucleotides) under Triticum aestivum (bread wheat). Its description in RNAcentral is "partial small subunit ribosomal RNA". The record is from RNAcentral. Lineage: Eukaryota; Viridiplantae; Streptophyta; Magnoliopsida; Poales; Poaceae.
AUGGCAUUGCUUCGUGAUCUUUGGAUGCCCAAAAGUCAGUGCUAUAUCAUAGGACCGGUUUGGCCAACUAUUGAGGUAGAGAACUUCGAGCUGAAACCUAGUCUUAUUGCUUUGGUUCAACAAUGUCAGUUUGGAGGACGACCUACUGAGGAUCCCUAUGAGCACUUACACCGAGUCAUGGAGUAUUCAGAUACAGUCAAGUACCACAAAGUUUCUCAAGACGCAAUCAUGUGUAGGUUGUUUACAUUCUCUCUCUGUGAUGGUGCUUGUGCUUGGUACCGAUCCUUGCCAUCAAGGUCAUACAGUUGGAUUGAGAUAUCACAAGCAUUCUUGGAUAAAUAUUUCCCACUACACAAGCAGUCCGCGAUUCGAGAUGAUAUCUUCAACUUUGUUCAGCGUGAAGGCGAGAGUUUGUAUGAUGCCUGGGAGAGGUACAAAGCCUUGUUCAGGAGAUGUCCUAAUCUUGGGCUCGAGAUAUGGUUAGAGCUGCAGAUAUUCUAUAGAGGAUUGACUUCGGACACUCGCGGUUACAUUGAUAUGGCAGCGGGUGGAGCUAUUACAAACAAGACACUUGAUGAUGCUUUUCUGCUGAUUGAGAGCAUAGCUUUCCACCAACUUUAG